CGGGGGGGGGUGCUAUACAUGCAAGUCGAGCGCGGGAAGCGAGUGGAUCCCUUCGGGGUGAAGCUCGUGGAACGAGCGGCGGACGGGUGAGUAACACGUGGGCAACCUGCCUGUAAGAUCGGAAUAACCCCGGGAAACCGGGGCUAAUGCCGGGUAAUACUUUCUUUCGCAUGAAGGAAAGUUGAAAGAUGGCUUCUUGCUAUCACUUACAGAUGGGCCCGCGGCGCAUUAGCUAGUUGGUGAGGUAACGGCUCACCAAGGCGACGAUGCGUAGCCGACCUGAGAGGGUGAUCGGCCACACUGGGACUGAGACACGGCCCAGACUCCUACGGGAGGCAGCAGUAGGGAAUCUUCCGCAAUGGACGAAAGUCUGACGGAGCAACGCCGCGUGAACGAUGAAGGUCUUCGGAUCGUAAAGUUCUGUUGUUAGGGAAGAACAAGUACCGUGCGAAUAGAGCGGUACCUUGACGGUACCUAACGAGGAAGCCCCGGCUAACUACGUGCCAGCAGCCGCGGUAAUACGUAGGGGGCAAGCGUUGUCCGGAAUUAUUGGGCGUAAAGCGCGCGCAGGCGGUUCCUUAAGUCUGAUGUGAAAGCCCACGGCUCAACCGUGGAGGGUCAUUGGAAACUGGGGAACUUGAGGACAGAAGAGGAGAGUGGAAUUCCACGUGUAGCGGUGAAAUGCGUAGAUAUGUGGAGGAACACCAGUGGCGAAGGCGACUCUCUGGUCUGUUUCUGACGCUGAGGUGCGAAAGCGUGGGUAGCAAACAGGAUUAGAUACCCUGGUAGUCCACGCCGUA
RNAcentral lists this ribosomal RNA (800 nucleotides) under Halobacillus sp. JSM 101075. Its description in RNAcentral is "bacterial SSU rRNA". It matches the Rfam family "Bacterial small subunit ribosomal RNA", at positions 37 to 804 of the family's 1533-position model. The record is from RNAcentral. Lineage: Bacteria; Bacillati; Bacillota; Bacilli; Caryophanales; Bacillaceae.